CUUUUACAAGCCAAGCAGGAAGAGACGCAGGGAGCGAGCGAGGGUAGAAAAGGAAGAAAAGAGGAGAAAAAAAAGAAGUAAGAAAGACAUCUGAGCUCUUUUCUCUCCCUGUCUCUGCCUCUCCGUCUGUCUUUUCUUCUCUUCUCUUUCUUGGCCUUGUUAAAGCCAUACUGUACUCGCCUGCCUUUGUUGGCAGGGGGUAAAUGUAGGGCUUGAGGACAGGAUGGGAGGGGUGUAGAUGGAGGGGAGGGCGGACGUUGGGUUCAGAGAGUUCAGCUGAGGAGAGAAAUAAAUUCAUAAACAACAAAGGAGUCGUGACGUCAGUGUGAGGGGCCGUCCAACCUGCUGGCUGAAUCUGAGCCGCCAUGGAAGAACCGGAUUGUUCGCACUGUAUGUUCCAGUGUGUGUGUGUGUGUGUGUGUGUGUGUGUGUGUGUGUGUGUGUCUGUGUACAGUUUAAAUGUGCACAUCCAUUCCCCUGUCUUUGAGAAAAGACUUGUGGAGUCGAAAAAGAGAGUUGCUUUGUUUCUAUGACGUCCCUCUGUCACCCGUGUACGAAGAGACGCACUCACGCCAGGAGGAGGGGAUUGUGGGAAGGGGGUGUCGCUCUGAGAGGGUGUGCUCUACUCCUCUUUUCCAUUCUUCCCGCCAUCACUGCCCUCUUCUCCUUCAGUCCUCGGGCCCGGGGGCCGCCGCUCACAUACAGACUGCAGGAAAGUUACCUUUGUGGAUCAUUGGAGCGAACAACGUAGAUGCUGUCCUUGGGGCUGAGGAGACAGCUGAGCCAGCUGAUCAACGACAGCCUCAAAUUACACAUGAAGUCAAACGGCCGUAUGCAGAUGAUGAAAAGAUGAUGACGUGUUUGACCCGGGCUCUGGCAGGAUGAGGUAGUAGGUUGUAUAGUUUGGUGGGUGGGAUUUGAACCCUGCUCAGGUGAUAACUAUACAGUCUAUUGCCUUCCCUGAGGAGGUCACUGCACAGCCGUUUUCACGUCUCAACAUACAGUAUAGAAAAAGUAGAAGCAGAAUACAUGUAUUUUAAAUUCUUUGCCUUUUCACGUGUGGUUGAUUUUGAUUUGACAAAAUAUGUAAGAUAAUUUGCUUUAAAUAGAAAACAUAGAAAUAAACACUGAAAAAAUGUUUUCCUGUAAUAAAAA
Molecule: long non-coding RNA, 1155 nt
Filed under: Gouania willdenowi (blunt-snouted clingfish)
Lineage: Eukaryota; Metazoa; Chordata; Actinopteri; Blenniiformes; Gobiesocidae
Description: lncRNA (ENSGWIG00000023010.1)
Rfam family: let-7 microRNA precursor family (bases 877-964)
Source: RNAcentral